CCCUCCCUCCUUCCCUGGAGGAGUGUUGUGCUUUGGAACUGAGGGGGCUUCGUGGCUGCUUCACGGUGUCAAGGGGUGAACCACAAUACACUUGACAGUUAUAGAUGUUGAACAUCCAUUGAAAAGACUGGGAUAACAUGUCCAUACCCGCCCUCCCAUUCAGCUCUGUUCUAGGAAACUUUAAAGUGAGGAAUGCAGUUAGUAGGGGAGACUUCUUGCAGACUCUACAGCAACUGUUCCAAAGCAUCCUGGGAACAUCUGACUUAUGGCGACCAAAAGGUGAACUUAACAUGGUGUUUGCCUGGCAAGAUUUGUUCAGGAGGAGUUUGCUAUUGCCUCCCUCUUAGACUGGGAGAAAGUGGCAUGCUCAAAGUCAUCCAAUGAUUUCCCAAGGUAAAUGGGAAUUUGAACCCUAGUUUCUCAGAACCCUAGGCUACAUCUACAAUGUAGAAUUAACUCAGUUUGACACCACUUUAACUAUAAUGGCUUGAUACCAUGGAAUCCCAAGGGUCGUAGUUAUACAAAGUCUUUAGCAUUUUCUCCCAUAGAAUGCUGAUGCCUCACCAGACAAAACAAAUCAGAAUUUGAACUACUAUUAUGUAAAUGUAAUUGGUAAAAUUAUAAAUGUUGAUUAAAAUGUGGUAUGGAAGAACAACAUCUGAUAUUGCAUACAGAUAGUGUCAUAGAAAAAGAUGUGGUCAAAGGGUUUGAAAAUUUCUUUUUGUUAUGAUCUUAAGGACAGU
Anolis sagrei ordinatus is the source of this 743-nucleotide non-coding RNA. NCBI's taxonomy places the organism in Eukaryota, Metazoa, Chordata, Lepidosauria, Squamata, Anolidae. The record is from RefSeq and is a predicted model, not a curated record.